GAUGAACGCUGGCGGCGUGCCUAAUACAUGCAAGUCGAGCGAACGGGCGAGAAGCUUGCUUCUCUGAUGUUAGCGGCGGACGGGUGAGUAACACGUGGAUAACCUACCUAUAAGACUGGGAUAACUUCGGGAAACCGGAGCUAAUACCGGAUAAUAUUUUGAACCGCAUGGUUCAAAAGUGAAAGACGGUCUUGCUGUCACUUAUAGAUGGAUCCGCGCUGCAUUAGCUAGUUGGCAAGGUAACGGCUUACCAAGGCAACGAUGCAUAGCCGACCUGAGAGGGUGAUCGGCCACACUGGAACUGAGACACGGUCCAGACUCCUACGGGAGGCAGCAGUAGGGAAUCUUCCGCAAUGGGCGAAAGCCUGACGGAGCAACGCCGCGUGAGUGAUGAAGGUCUUCGGAUCGUAAAACUCUGUUAUUAGGGAAGAACAUAUGUGUAAGUAACUGUGCACAUCUUGACGGUACCUAAUCAGAAAGCCACGGCUAACUACGUG
RNAcentral lists this ribosomal RNA (497 nucleotides) under uncultured bacterium. RNAcentral's name for it is "partial 16S ribosomal RNA". It matches the Rfam family "Bacterial small subunit ribosomal RNA", at positions 28 to 507 of the family's 1533-position model. The record is from RNAcentral.